GGGGAAGUCAAGAUGGCUAACCAGGCACAGCCAGGUGGAUCAUUUCUUACCAAAAGGAUGAGACUUCAGGAAGACUGGCACAUUCUGAGCAGAUCUUUGUGGGGAAGGCAUUGAGAGUGGACAGAGCUUCAGGCACGUCUCAGCAUGCCUCCCUCUCAUGGAAGUUCCCAGGAAGCCCACCAUGUACGUGUCUGUACGUGUCUGUAGAAGAGGAGGAAAUUUUUUUCCGGGAGCCGGCUGAUUACACAAAGAACAAAGAUAUCCCUCUUCUUUCUCUUAUAAAGACAUCAGUCAUCGGAUUUAGAGUCCACCCUAAAUCCAGGAUGACCUCAUCCCAACAUCCAAAAUCAAUAGAGGAAACCAAAGAAAGGAGACACGUGGUCUGAAAUUAAUACAGCUGGUGAAGUCAGACUUAAAGCAGGUUCAUUUAUUUACAGUUGACUUGAAUAACUGAAACAUGGAUUUUAUAAUUAGAAUGUCUUGGAAAAAGCAACCUAAUUUACAGGUGGACACAAAAAGGUAACGUGGGCUUUACUAGUUUUAGUAUUGAGUUGUAUUAUACCCUUGAUUUGGUAAUUCAAGAUGAAAUGGGUGAAACAAAUUAUUUUAAAUGAUCAUUUUCUUCCAAAAAAUUGCAGCAUCUAUUUCAAUUACAAAUUCAUUGAAUCUAAGUAAUCAUCUUUUAAAAUAUUUCUGUACUUUAGUAAGCCUUAUUUAAAGUGAACUAAAUUAUCAUUCAUUCCUAUUGGCAUCUGUUCAUUAUUGUCACCAGCUAUAACAAAUGAACAAAAAUUUUUGUUAGAGAGAGAUGAGAUGUGUUUCUUAUACUGUACAGUGUUAAUAAGAACAUGUUAGUUGUCUUAAAUAUAUACGCCAAAUUGCCAGUGCCUUUAGGGGACAUUCUCUUAAAAACUUCUAUAUUGUAGCAAAUUGUGAAGUCUAUAAUUUGCAUGAGGUAGUAUUUUUUUUACCAAUGUAAAAAACCUAUAUGAUCUUAAAUGUGAAUGCUUUGAUUUAUAUAAAAGUCAUGUGUGGCAUAUGUGUAAGAUAUGCUUACCCAUUUACUUUAUUGACAGUACAUUUUAUGGGCACAUAUAAUGAAAUAUGUAUUACAUAAGCUACUAUAUGAGCAUAAUUAUUAUGAAUUUAUAGAUGUGGAUAAUAAAGUUGGUAAAAAUGGGC
Molecule: long non-coding RNA, 1182 nt
Filed under: Homo sapiens (human)
Lineage: Eukaryota; Metazoa; Chordata; Mammalia; Primates; Hominidae
Description: HSALNT0146632
Source: RNAcentral